GUGUUAGGGGGUCUCCGCCCCUUAGUGCUGCAGCUAACGCAUUAAGCACUCCGCCUGGGGAGUACGGUCGCAAGACUGAAACUCAAAGGAAUUGACGGGGGCCCGCACAAGCGGUGGAGCAUGUGGUUUAAUUUGAAGCAACGCGAAGAACCUUACCAGGUCUUGACAUCCCGUUGACCACUGUAGAGAUAUAGUUUCCCCUUCGGGGGCAACGGUGACAGGUGGUGCAUGGUGGUCGUCAGCUCGUGUCGUGAGAUGUUGGGUUAAGUCCCGCAACGAGCGCAACCCUUGAUCUUAGUUGCCAUCAUUUAGUUGGGCACUCUAAGGUGACUGCCGGUGACAAACCGGAGGAAGGUGGGGAUGACGUCAAAUCAUCAUGCCCCUUAUGACCUGGGCUACACACGUGCUACAAUGGACGAUACAAACGGUUGCCAACUCGCGAGAGGGAGCUAAUCCGAUAAAGUCGUUCUCAGUUCGGAUUGUAGGCUGCAACUCGCCUACAUGAAGCCGGAAUCGCUAGUAAUCGCGGAUCAGCAUGCCGCGGUGAAUACGUUCCCGGGCCUUGUACACACCGCCCGUCACACCACGAGAGUUUGUAACACCCGAAGUC
This 610-nucleotide unclassified non-coding RNA is filed under the name Lysinibacillus fusiformis. RNAcentral describes it as "contains 16S-23S intergenic spacer region". It matches the Rfam family "Bacterial small subunit ribosomal RNA", at positions 820 to 1428 of the family's 1533-position model. The record is from RNAcentral. Lineage: Bacteria; Bacillati; Bacillota; Bacilli; Caryophanales; Bacillaceae.